Artibeus jamaicensis (Jamaican fruit-eating bat) is the source of this 1141-nucleotide long non-coding RNA. RefSeq lists it as uncharacterized. The record is from RefSeq and is a predicted model, not a curated record. NCBI's taxonomy places the organism in Eukaryota, Metazoa, Chordata, Mammalia, Chiroptera, Phyllostomidae. The transcript is spliced from 3 exons.
AAAACCCUUAGGGCCCCACGGGCCGUGCCUGAAUUCCACAGUGGGGAGGGGGCUGUUCUCAGAGGGGUUAGUGACCCUCCUUUCUCAGUAGGAGGUGGUCUUCAGGAGCUGGCUGCAGCAGGAUGCAGGGAAGCAGGGUGCUCUGAGGUGUUGGGGGGACGCCCUUCAGCUCCUCUGAGCAGCCCGGCUGGGGGCUCCUGCUGACCCUCCUCCCUGCGGUGCUGGCUCUGCACUGAUUCCGACCACUGGUCCCUCUGGGCGGCCACCUGUGGCGUUGGGUAGGAGCCCAGUCUAAAGCUUUCCCUAAUGUUCCGAAGUCACCUCUCUCACCAAAUGCCUUAACCUUGCCUCUCCGCCCCCAAGUCUUUAUUCUUCCUGGUUCAAGGGACUGCAGGGUUCUGCAUCACCAGGCGGGCAGAAGUAUGAAUGCUGAGACCACGAAUGUGUGACCCGAGGAGACUGGACCUGCUCUGCUAGCAGCGUGGACCUCAGCGUCCUUCCCCUUGGGCAGUGAGAGGUGGCUACCCUCACCAUCUGGCUCUGAGGGACGUGCAGUUCUAGGGCAGAGCGGGGCGUGAUCCUGGAACCGUUAACCCACUCGGUCACACGGUGGGGAACCGCAGCCGAAUGGCCUCCUCUGUGCCAGCCCCUGGUCAUGGCAAAUGAAAUGUUCGUGGCCAAUAUGAACUCACUGGGCCCUCACAGCGACCCAGUCGGCUGGUGUCAUGAAUGCUCCCCUUGUAUGGACGAGGAAACAGGAUGGGAGAUAGCGCUCCCGAGCGUCGGAGAUGCAGACCAGUGGGAGACGGCCUGUGACUCCCCCGUGCAUUUUUCAUCCAUCUCACCCUCUGCACGUGUUCCAAAGUUACUUUCAAAAUGCAAAGCGGGAGUCCUGGCUGGUGUAGCUCAGUGGAUUGAGCGCGGGCCUGCGAACCAGACAAUUGCGGUUCGAUCCCAGUCAGGGCACAUACUGGGGUUGCAGGCAGGUUCCCUGCAGGCCAGUUCCCAGCAGGGGACACAUGAAAGGCAACCGUACAUUGAUGUUUCUCUCCCUUUCUCCUUCCCUUCCCCUCUAAAGAUAAAUAAAUAAAAUCUUUAAAAAAAAAAUGCAAAGCGGCCUGUUCACUGGCCGACCUAUCUU